AUUGAACGCUGGCGGCAUGCUUUACACAUGCAAGUCGAACGGCAGCGGGGGCUUCGGCCCGCCGGCGAGUGGCGAACGGGUGAGUAAUGCAUCGGAACGUGCCCAGUCAUGGGGGAUGACUACGCGAAAGCGUAGCUAAUACCGCAUACGCCCUGAGGGGGAAAGUGGGGGAUCGAAAGACCUCACGUGAUUGGAGCGGCCGAUGUCAGAUUAGCUAGUUGGUGAGGUAAAGGCUCACCAAGGCGACGAUCUGUAGCGGGUCUGAGAGGAUGAUCCGCCACACUGGGACUGAGACACGGCCCAGACUCCUACGGGAGGCAGCAGUGGGGAAUUUUGGACAAUGGGCGAAAGCCUGAUCCAGCCAUGCCGCGUGAGUGAAGAAGGCCUUCGGGUUGUAAAGCUCUUUCGGACGGGAAGAAAUGGCGAGCUCUAACAUAGCUUGUCGAUGACGGUACCGUAAGAAGAAGCACCGGCUAACUACGUGCCAGCCGCCGCGGUAA
Molecule: ribosomal RNA, 500 nt
Filed under: uncultured bacterium
Lineage: Bacteria
Description: partial 16S ribosomal RNA
Rfam family: Bacterial small subunit ribosomal RNA
Source: RNAcentral